Molecule: long non-coding RNA, 841 nt
Organism: Notolabrus celidotus (New Zealand spotty)
Lineage: Eukaryota; Metazoa; Chordata; Actinopteri; Labriformes; Labridae
Exons: 3
Source: RefSeq, a predicted model, not a curated record
UUAAUGAAACCGAGCAAUAUGCUCUUUGCUCCAUUGUUUAAAAUGACUGAUAGAUAUUUGGAUUUAUUUGAGGGAAUACAUCUUUAUCACUAUGCUUAAGUCUGUCUGGUAAAAUUGAUUUCUUGGUCUGUGGCUGGCUUAAUUUUUUCUACCACGCUAUUCGCUAUAACAGUUACACCAUUACCAAACAACUACCGACAUGUUUUAAUUUUUACUACAACAACUACAUCCUUCGUGUGUCAGAUCUGAUCCAUCUGCCCUCAACCCAUUACAGUCAUCCUGGUUGUUGCCCUAAAAACCGCCAAGCAUCAUGGCAGUAGGUCACAGUGAGGAGGAGUGGGACGAAAAGCACCCGGACACGAUACAGUCCCAGCCUAGGAAAAACGAAGAGGAGACAAAGAGUGAAAGCUCAGAGAGCAAGUGUCCUAAGUGCUGCUUGAAGACGAGGGACUGUAUGAUGAGCGCCGAGUGUGGACGUUGCCUCCAGAUUUCCAGCGUUGUCGCUUUUUGUGGAAUGUGUAUCCAAAUGUUCGUGUAACCAAAACUUGGAUUUCAGGACCUGCUCUCCCCAGCCAUGUUGAUUUUCUGCACUCCUCCUGCAUCAUGAAGCAUGGCUUUCUUCAGAUCUGCACCUCGUCUCCACUUUAGUGUCGUUCCACUGCAAUUUAUUAUAGAUAAAUAUAAUCUGUAUUUUUUUUUAAACAAAGAUAAUCAAUAUGAAGGCAUUUAACUGUUUUCUGCACAUCUUUGCAAAAGGUGAAUUUUAGAGCCAAUCUGAUCUCUUAAACAGCUACAGUAUUUCGUCAGUCUUGAUUUAUUUUGAAUUGUAAAAAUACAUCAA